GACGAACGCUGGCGGCGUGCUUAACACAUGCAAGUCGAACGGAAAGGCCCUGCUUUUGUGGGGUGCUCGAGUGGCGAACGGGUGAGUAACACGUGAGUAACCUGCCCUUGACUUUGGGAUAACUUCAGGAAACUGGGGCUAAUACCGGAUAGGAGCUCCUGCUGCAUGGUGGGGGUUGGAAAGUUUCGGCGGUUGGGGAUGGACUCGCGGCUUAUCAGCUUGUUGGUGGGGUAGUGGCUUACCAAGGCUUUGACGGGUAGCCGGCCUGAGAGGGUGACCGGCCACAAUGGGACUGAGAUACGGCCCAGACUCCUACGGGAGGCAGCAGUGGGGAAUAUUGCACAAUGGGCGGAAGCCUGAUGCGACAACGCCGCGUGCGGGAUGACGGCCUUCGGGUUGUAAACCGCUUUCGCCUGUGACGAAGCGUGAGUGACGGUAAUGGGUAAAGAAGCACCGGCUAACUACGUG
Molecule: ribosomal RNA, 468 nt
Filed under: uncultured bacterium
Lineage: Bacteria
Description: partial 16S ribosomal RNA
Rfam family: Bacterial small subunit ribosomal RNA
Source: RNAcentral